This 624-nucleotide long non-coding RNA is filed under the name Brassica rapa (field mustard). RNAcentral's name for it is "long non-coding RNA (BRAP_LNC004157)". Lineage: Eukaryota; Viridiplantae; Streptophyta; Magnoliopsida; Brassicales; Brassicaceae. The record is from RNAcentral.
UGUUAAUAUAUUAGUAUGUAUAUAAUUAUGAGAUAGAUUAACAUAUGUCACAAUCUUGAAAUAUAUAAUUGUCAUGUGUCACGAUCAGGCUAAUUAACAACUUUGAAGAACCAAGCUGUAUAUAAUAAGAUAAUGAGGCACAUAAUAUGGCUGUCACAUUUGUGCAAACCAUUAUACAACUAAAAAUCAUUUUUUGAUAAAAGAUCAAAUAUGUUUUUUUAAAAAUCAUUAUUUAGUCUUCAUUAGAGUAUUUAAUUUAUAUUGUCAUAAGGUGAAUAUUAACGUAUGGAGCUUUCGAUGUAAAAAAAAAAAAUAAUAAUAAUUAAUAAAUAAAUCGUUCAUUCUAAAUGUUCCGCCGCAGCUAGUAAGACUUCACACCUCCUAGUAAUAGACAAUUUGUUACGCACAUUUGCCGUGGCCCCGUGGUCGAGUACCGCAAAAGAGCACACUUAAAGAAAGUAAUUUUAUAGUGGCUUUAUAGUACGCAUCCAUGUACGAAUAGCUUUCUCUCCUCUCCAGAUUCAGAUAGCUUAGUGAGAAGAAAUAUAACAAAAACAACGAUUACUUUUCUAUGGGAUAGAUCCUAUAUACGUGCGAAACGUUAAAUAUCAAUUUUCCUGGAAA